GUGCCAGCAGCCGCGGUAAUACCGGCAGCCCAAGUGAUGGCCACUCUUAUUGGGCCUAAAGCGUCCGUAGCCGGCCUCGCAAGUCCAUCGGAAAAUCCACCCGCCCAACGGGUGGGCGUCCGGUAGAAACUGGCCGGCUUGGAACCGGAAGGCUCAGAGAGUACGUCCGGGGUAGGAGUGAAAUCCCGUAAUCCCGGACGGACUACCGAUGGCGAAAGCACUCUGAGAAGACGGCUUCGACAGUGAGGGACGAAAGCUCGGGUCUCAAACCGGAUUAGAUACCCCAGUAGUCC
RNAcentral lists this ribosomal RNA (293 nucleotides) under uncultured bacterium. RNAcentral's name for it is "partial 16S ribosomal RNA". It matches the Rfam family "Archaeal small subunit ribosomal RNA", at positions 455 to 747 of the family's 1478-position model. The record is from RNAcentral.